GAUGCUAGAGCUUGCUCUGGUUGAUCAGUGGCGAACGGGUGAGUAACACGUGAGUAACCUGCCCUUGACUCUGGGAUAACUCCGGGAAACCGGGGCUAAUACCGGAUACGAGACGCGACCGCAUGGUCGGCGUCUGGAAAGUUUUUCGGUCAAGGAUGGACUCGCGGCCUAUCAGCUUGUUGGUGAGGUAAUGGCUCACCAAGGCGUCGACGGGUAGCCGGCCUGAGAGGGCGACCGGCCACACUGGGACUGAGACACGGCCCAGACUCCUACGGGAGGCAGCAGUGGGGAAUAUUGCACAAUGGGCGAAAGCCUGAUGCAGCGACGCCGCGUGAGGGAUGAAGGCCUUCGGGUUGUAAACCUCUUUCAGUAGGGAAGAAGCGAAAGUGACGGUACCUGCAGAAGAAGCGCCGGCUAACUACGUGCCAGCAGCCGCGGUAAUACGUAGGGCGCAAGCGUUGUCCGGAAUUAUUGGGCGUAAAGAGCUCGUAGGCGGUUUGUCGCGUCUGGUGUGAAAACUCAAGGCUCAACCUUGAGCUUGCAUCGGGUACGGGCAGACUAGAGUGUGGUAGGGGUGACUGGAAUUCCUGGUGUAGCGGUGGAAUGCGCAGAUAUCAGGAGGAACACCGAUGGCGAAGGCAGGUCACUGGGCCACUACUGACGCUGAGGAGCGAAAGCAUGGGGAGCGAACAGGAUUAGAUACCCUGGUAGUCCAUGCCGUAAACGUUGGGCACUAGGUGUGGGGCUCAUUCCACGAGUCGCGCCGCAGCUACGCAUUAAGUGCCCCGCCUGGGGAGUACGGCCGCAAGGCUAAAACUCAAAGGAAUUGA
This 830-nucleotide ribosomal RNA is filed under the name Sanguibacter keddieii. Its description in RNAcentral is "bacterial SSU rRNA". It matches the Rfam family "Bacterial small subunit ribosomal RNA", at positions 69 to 913 of the family's 1533-position model. Lineage: Bacteria; Bacillati; Actinomycetota; Actinomycetes; Micrococcales; Sanguibacteraceae. The record is from RNAcentral.